RNAcentral lists this microRNA (18 nucleotides) under Homo sapiens (human). RNAcentral describes it as "hsa-miR-4285". Lineage: Eukaryota; Metazoa; Chordata; Mammalia; Primates; Hominidae. The record is from miRBase by way of RNAcentral.
GCGGCGAGUCCGACUCAU